UACGGGGGGGGCAAGCGUUGUUCGGAAUUACUGGGCGUAAAGGGUUCGUAGGUGGCUCGCUAAGUCAGACGUGAAAUCCCUCAGCUUAACUGGGGAACUGCGUCUGAGACUGGCGAGCUCGAGUGCAGGAGAGGAACGCGGAAUUCCAGGUGUAGCGGUGAAAUGCGCAGAUAUCGGGAGGAACACCGGUGGCGAAGGCGGUUCUCUGGGCCUGUACUGACGCUGAGGAGCGAAAGCGUGGGGAGCGAACAGG
RNAcentral lists this ribosomal RNA (253 nucleotides) under uncultured bacterium. Its description in RNAcentral is "partial 16S ribosomal RNA". It matches the Rfam family "Bacterial small subunit ribosomal RNA", at positions 524 to 776 of the family's 1533-position model. The record is from RNAcentral.